GGCGAGUGAGUUGAACGCUGGAUAGACGAGGCGGUGGUCCCACGACCCACAGUAUCCGUAGCGGGUCCUAAGUCCCAAGUUACAACCUGCCAGCGUCGGUCCCAGCCGACCGUAUAACCUACAAAAUUCUACUCCAGCAGCAGCGGUUCUCCCUCGUUCGUACAUCCUUGCGAUAAAUUAUCUUAUUAUCGUCGAUCGAGUCGUAUUAUGCGAGCCUGCACCGGCCGGGAACGAGAGAAACUCAAUUAUACCGACUCGUCUGCGUUGUGACGUUACAGUCCGGGGUCCGGCAUCGUUUUCUUUAUUCUUCGUCUCGUUUUUCAAUCGGUAUACACGAUAUACAGCUGGCUCGCUAUGUUUGGUAUCGGGAGCAGAAAAGUGUUGAAAUAUUCCGCCAUUGACACUUCCUUAGCACUGGACGUCGAGGACACCGUCACUUGCUUCUGCAGUACGCGAGAGAAAUUUAGCGGAAUCAGCGAUAAUCACUUGGAGUCAUCGUCGUCGUCGUCGGUAUCAGCAUCGGGAACACAUACGCCGAUAAUGAUGCGGUCGCCGGCACGGGGGGCUGUCGCCCUUACGGAGACGACGACGUCCUCGGCCUCGGCGCCCGCCACCCCCGUGCACAACUCCUCCUCGUCCUCGUCCUCGGCAACCGGAGGAACAAACGUCUCCUCGCGGCUCUCCCUAUUUGACACCUGCCACAGGAAGAUACGACUCUUCGGUGAAUUAGUCGCAAAAGCCCGACGGAAGGAGAAAGAUGCCGGAGCCACGGAAGAUCCCAAAUUGUACCUGGAGGAAGCCGCUUUGGAACGACAGCUUCCGGAACUUGACCUGAGGAUGCUUGUCGACCUACCGGCUGGUCUCGAUUACAACGAAUGGCUAGCCUCCCACACUCUCGCACUUUUUGACCACAUCAAUCUCUUCUACGGAACGAUAUCCGAGUUUUGUACGAUGACGGGAUGCCCCGACAUGACGGGUCCUGGUUUGAGGACGUAUUUAUGGUUUGACGAAAAAGGAAAAAAGACUAGAGUGGCUGCUCCACAAUACAUAGACUACGUCAUGACAUUUACACAGCGUACUGUUAGUGAUGAAACAAUAUUCCCUACUAAAUAUGCCAACGAGUUUCCAAGCUCGUUUGAAUCGAUAGUGCGUAAGAUCCUGCGAUUGCUGUACCAUGUUGUUGCGCACAUAUAUCACUGUCACUUUAGGGAAGUUGCACUAUUGGGAUUGCAUGCGCAUCUCAAUUGUGUAUUCGCCCAUCUUACACUUCUUAAUCAACGCUUCAACCUUAUCGACCCAAAGGAGACUGAGAUCCUUGGGGACUUAGAAGCUGCUCUUUUAGGUGAUUCUACGCCUGCUUCUUCACAACCCCCAGCCAUCCAGGAAACUCCAACCACAACUACCUAGGUAGAUCCUGUUAAAUGAAGCUAGAGGUUGCAGUUCCUGAGAUCAGAUAACGCUAGACGUUAACUGUUGACUAUAGAGUUAUGAGAGUUUUGGAGUUUCCAUACAGAAUAUAGGCAAGUCGAUGAAAAGCGCAGUUCUGUAAAAACCAGUAGUACCUGUACAUAGAGGAGUGUGGAAAACAACUACAAGAUGUAAUUAGGGUUCCUCUGUUUGUUGUUUCUACAUGGGAUCCAGAUUAGACGAAACGAAUAAACUACCCCUUUGCAAAAUACGUGUACUCCCGCAACUGGAUUUCUACUAGCUGAAACAAUCGCACACAAAGAAGUAUCCAACAUUCACAGUCGUACUAUCAAUACUUGAGAAUAAUGUAACAAAAUGUUCUACAGUGACUUCUCUUCCGUUCAUUGAUACAUUAUUCAUUUCCUUAUUGUGAUACAAUCGACCUUUGGACUCAUGGAAUAAUGACGUUACCUAUAUUUUUAUACUAGUUACAAGCGGCAUGCAUAAUUAAUUAUAAUAAUUCUACCAGUUAUUACUAGUUAUAUGACUUAAUGAGUAGCCUCUAGUCACGUACAACUGUUGUUGGUGCAAUUGUUCACUUCGACAAUCCUAAACGCCCUGAAUACCUGAGCUAUCUCUCUUAGAAAGAAACCAAGUCCCUCUGCUAUUGGUUCACAGAGGUCUCGAAAAGAUGUAGCUAUAUUGUACAACAGUAUGAGUACCGGUUGUAUCGUCGCAUUGAAUAACAUUGACAAUGAUGGCUUCAGAAA
Molecule: unclassified non-coding RNA, 2177 nt
Filed under: Neodiprion lecontei (redheaded pine sawfly)
Lineage: Eukaryota; Metazoa; Arthropoda; Insecta; Hymenoptera; Diprionidae
Description: mOB kinase activator-like 2, transcript variant X4
Source: RNAcentral